RNAcentral lists this ribosomal RNA (507 nucleotides) under uncultured bacterium. RNAcentral describes it as "partial 16S ribosomal RNA". The record is from RNAcentral.
GGAGUUAGCCGGUGCUUCUUCUGUGAGUGAUGUCCUUCCUGCCGGCUAUUAACCCGCAGGCCUUCUUCCUCACUGAAAGUGCUUUACAACCCGAAGGCCUUCUUCACACACGCGGCAUGGCUGGAUCAGGGUUGCCCCCAUUGUCCAAUAUUCCCCACUGCUGCCUCCCGUAGGAGUCUGGGCCGUGUCUCAGUCCCAGUGUGGCUGAUCAUCCUCUCAGACCAGCUACGGAUCGUCGCCUUGGUGAGCCGUUACCUCACCAACCAGCUAAUCCGACAUAGGCUCAUCCGAUAGCGCGAGGCCCGAAGGUCCCCCGCUUUCCCCCGUAGGGCGUAUGCGGUAUUAGCCUGGGUUUCCCCAGGUUAUCCCCCACUACCGGGAAGAUUCCUAUGCAUUACUCACCCGUCCGCCGCUCGCCACCAGGGAGCAAGCUCCCCGUGCUGCCGCUCGACUUGCAUGUGUUAGGCCUGCCGCCAGCGUUCAAUCUGAGCCAGAAUCAAACUCUGA